Vespula vulgaris is the source of this 12445-nucleotide long non-coding RNA. RefSeq lists it as uncharacterized. The record is from RefSeq and is a predicted model, not a curated record. The transcript is spliced from 3 exons. Lineage: Eukaryota; Metazoa; Arthropoda; Insecta; Hymenoptera; Vespidae.
AUAUAUUUUUUUUCUUUUAUUUCAGCAUUACAAUCUAUGGUGAAAUAUAUACGUAUAUAAUUUCUUACUUAUUAAAUUAUCAAAAUUAUGGAAAUAUUUGCCCAUAGAUUGUAAAUAAAAAUUUUGUCUUUCCACACAUGCCCUUUUAUAUAGUUUUCUGUUACAGAGAGGUGUCGUUUUCAUGUUUCAAGAUUAAAUAUUGCAAAAUAUCCUUUUAUAUAUCAGUGGGUAUUAACAACAGUGUUGAAAAUAAUUUUUCAAGAUUUGUCAUAUUAUCACAGUGUAUGACAUAAAAAUAAAUUGAUAAAGAUUACGAAUUCAUCAUGCAAAAUUUGUGUUUCAGGUUUUCCAGGUGCUUGGAUUAACAAGAAAUCCAUCUAAAAAUAAUAAUGUGGGAAGAUAUUCUAAUUAGGUAUUGAUGACGAAUGAAGAAUUGAAAUUAUAGAAAAUAAAAAAUUGAAAUAUUCAAUAAAUUUGAACUAAACGUAGUUAAUUUCUGUUUCAGGAAAUAUCAUCCAAAUUGGAAAGGUUCGAUUCUACUCUUUGUUGGUGAAUUAAACAUAGUUAAUUUCUAUUUCGGGAAAUAUCAUCCAAAUUGGCAAGAUUUGAUUCCACUCUUCGUUGGUUGUUCUUUUCGUUUGUGAGAUAUAUAUGUGUGUAUAAAAUAAUUUUUAGUUUAAUAUAUGUUUUAUUUUUAGAAAGUAAUAACAUUAUAAAUUUCUUAUGUCCACAGGUUAUUUGUUUAUUAUAUAAAAUAUGCAUAUUGAUUUUGAUUGUUUCUUGUUUAAUUACAAAAUGUUUUUAAUGUUUUAUGUUCACAGGUGACUGUAAACAGGACAAUGCUAAUUUAAAUAAAAUUAGCACAUUAUUUCGAUUGCUACUUGUUUAAUUAUAAAAUAUUUUGGAUGUUUUAUAUUCACAGGUGGACUAUAAAUGAUGAUUUAUUACAGGAAAUAUGAAAUUCGCAUAUUAUUUUGAUUGCUACCUGUUUAAUCAUUAAAUGUUUUUGACAUUUUAUGUUCACAGGAUUUCAGCAUCGUGUGCAACAAGGUUUCACAUUAGUUUAAUGGGAAUAGAAUUCCAUAAAGGGCUCUAUUCUUAACCGGGUAGGUAGGUCGAUAUUAAACGAAUUCAUAAGUUUUCGUCUAGUCAUGAUCGAUUAGAAAAAAAUUUUUGAUUCGUUUCGCGAUUGAUCUUGUUUCUUUUUUCUAAUUAUAAUUAUAAUUCUAUAAAAUUAUAAUAAUUAUUAUUGAAUAUGUCAUAAUAAUGAUUUUAUAUAAUAGCUUCUAAAGUAAUUCAUAUUAAAAGUAGAGUCUUUAGCCCGUGGGUCUCCGUAUGCAGCAACCUCCAUGCGGUGGGACCUGGAAAUCGAUAUUACUUACGAUAUGUGAUAAAAAUAAAUAACGUAAGUACUGUCGAGCUAAUGGCUGCAUUUAAAUUCAAUCAAAAUUUAUUGUGUUCUAUGAUGAUUUUAACUAUUUUUCCACUUUGUUUAUUUUUCGUAUCUCAAUAGAGAUAUAAAUAGAUUAAUUUCUUAUUUUACAAACUCAUUAUUAUAGUAUAUAUAUACAUAUUCAAUACAUAAAAUUAAAUACAUAUAUACAUAUGCAACAUAUAUUUUUAUUGAUAUAUAUAUAUAUUAUUGAUAACAAAAUUGUAUGUGUAAAUUAAUGUUUGUUUGAAUAAAAAAUUACGUCUAGGCUUUCAAGUAAUUAAGAGGAGUCAGUUGCUGCUAUAUCUUUCGAGAAUGGAUUGUCUUAUCAUAUGUUUUAUUUUUUAUCAGAAAAUGCACAAAUUCUUAAUUAAAAUUUGAAACUUAAUUAUCAUGAACAUUAACAUCUUAGUAAUUAUCUUUUAUCUUGCCUUUACAAUUUUUAUCGUUGAUCUAAUGAUAUCUAUAAUUUUUGUUUAAAUAAUGUAUUUUAUAAAAAAGCAAUUCAUAUUUUAUAUUUUUAUUGAUAGUAAAUAUUCAAGAUUCCUCAAUUAUUCGAUUUCUCGAUUGCAUCAUAUAUCAAAAUGUAGAAUCACGCGUUUAAAUGAUUUAUAGAAAUAGAUUGAUAAUAGAAAUAAAAAGUGCAUUUAUAUGCUGGUACGUCAAACGGGCGUAUUAUAUUAACUUCUAUUGCAUUAUAGCAUUAUAUAUUUUCUUUUUGUUUCAGAUGAUCAUCGUUGAAUUCGCUAAUAUAAUCUAUUUUCGACUUUGCAUACAUAGAAAAUUACAUUUUAUUAAUUUAGGAUAGGGUCUUCUUGUUUCAUAGAUUGGAUUAAUUAAUAGUUCAAUUAAUAAGCAUUUUUUUAUUUGUAUUUGCUCGCGAUAUUAGCAGUGAAAUUGGACAUCAAUUUUUUCGAUUUCGUCAAAAAAGCAUGUAAUGUGAUAUACGUUUUAUGCAUUGCUUCGUACUUGGUCUAUUUAAUCGCGAUUUAUCUCGAUGUAUCGAUGUAGAAGAACAAGAAAAAACGAACAGAAGACAAGCGCGCGCGACGGAUAGAUUCUGGAAAAUGAACAGUAGUUCAUGAUUUAACUUUUUAAUUAGAACAGCCACUUAGAAGGAAUUGUCCGAGGUUUUUUUGAUUAUUCUUUCAUACAAAAUUGAAUAAAUAUUUAAUUAAUUUUUUUGAUAAAAAAAGUCUCAAUAAAGUCAUUGUUUUUGAAAGAAAAAAGUCGAGUAGAAUCAUUGCUAAUAAAAAACAAAGAGACUUGUAGAUUCAUAGCCCGUAGGAUCUAGAAUAGGUUAAUAAAUUUUUAGAUCAGGGUUUUCAGCUUUUAACAAACUAAUUCCUGUUUUUCACCCCCACCCAUGUUUUCUGCAUUCUCCUCUAUGCGUGUUCCCAGGUGUUACUCGUAUGAGUGAGAAAUUGUUAGUAUGGGUUUAAUUUUAAAUUUUCCUAUAUUGGUGACUGUCAUAGCGUUAGUGUUUGCACACGAUAUACCCUGCAUCUGUGUGUUCGUGGUAGGUGGUGCAUUGUAUAUUGUUUCGUGAUUAUUUAUAAAUAAAUACGAAUAAAACAAAUAUACUAAUACAUUAUUAUUUAAAAUACUAUACUAAUAUAUUACAAUUCAUAUCGUUUUGCAUAGUAAAGUCAGCAUAUAUUGUAAGUGAAUUGAAAUCGUAUAUUGAAUGAAAUUAUUCAAUAUCAAUAUAGUGAACGAAAGCAUAUAUUGAAAGGGAAAUAUUCGCAAGUGAACGUCAGAAAAAUGGAAUUUCGAACGAAACCCACCUCAGCGGAAGAACGAAACCCACCUAAGGCCCACAUCCGAGGGCCUCUCCCAAGGGUCUCACCCGAUAGAAGAUAGAGUACUUAAUCAACAAUUUAACCAAAAAUUCAAAAUAAUUGUUUUAAUUAUAAUAUGCAGCCAUUCGCCCGGUAGUACUUCCGCUAUAUAAUUAUUUAAAUAUCUAUAUAUAAUUUAGUUAUAAACUUUUGAUGUAAUUUAGAUACAAUUUCAAUAUAUAGCAAGUACUACCGACCCAGGUCCCACCGCUUGGAGGUUGCUGCAUCUGGGGACCCACGGGCUAACGGUGACUCUACUCUAAAGUUCGCGUGACCGGCGUGAUCAAAUAAUCGACGUUCCAUAAAACGAAGUCCCCGGUAGGACUUUUAAUCGCGCCCGAACACUCCCGUGAGUGUUAAAAUAACGGUGACUCUACUCUAAAUUCGCGUCCGCGGCGUUCUAUGCACUAACCAAGAAAUCAGGCGGCUAACUGAAGGAGGAUCCGUCCACUCUUACGGAUAGCAAACCACACUACUCGGCAGCACAUAAACCGACUCACUAGCACAACCGGUCAUUUAUUCGUUUUUAGCAAUCAAACGUAGUCCAUAUCGGUAGGACUAUAAAUCGCGCCCGAACACUCCCGUGAGUGUUAGAAGAACGGUGACUCUACUUUAAAUUCGCGUUCGCGGCGUUCUAUGCACUAACCAAGAAAUUAGGCGGCUAACUGGCGGAGGAUCAGUCCACUCUUACGGAUAGCAAACCACACUACUCGGAAGCACAUAAACCGACUCACUAGCACGACCGGUCAUUUAUUCGUUUUUAGCAAUCAAACGUAGUCCAUAUCGGUAGGACUUUCAAUCGCGCCCGAACACUCCCGUGAGUGUUAGAAGAACGGUGACUCUACUUUAAAUUCGCGUUCGCGGCGUUCUAUGCACUAACCAAGAAAUCAGGCGGCUAACUGGCGGAGGAUCAGUCCACUCUUACGGAUAGCAAACCACACUACUCGGAAGCACAUAAACCGACUCACUAGCACGACCGGUCAUUUAUUCGUUUUUAGCAAUCAAACGUAGUCCAUAUCGGUAGGACUUUCAAUCGCGCCCGAACACUCCCGUGAGUGUUAGAAGAACGGUGACUCUACUUUAAAUUCGCGUUCGCGGCGUUCUAUGCACUAACCAAGAAAUCAGGCGGCUAACUGGCGGAGGAUCAGUCCACUCUUACGGAUAGCAAACCACACUACUCGGAAGCACAUAAACCGACUCACUAGCACGACCGGUCAUUUAUGCGUUUUUAGCAAUCAAACGUAGUCCAUAUCGGUAGGACUUUCAAUCGCGCCCGAACACUCCCGUGAGUGUUAGAAGAACGGUGACUCUACUUUAAAUUCGCGUUCGCGGCGUUCUAUGCACUAACCAAAAAAUCUGGCGGCUAACUGGCGGAGGGUGAGUCCACUCUUACGGAUAGCAAACGAUACUAUUCGGCAGCACAUAAACCGACACACUAGCACGACCGGUCAUUUAUUCUUUUUUAGCAAUCAAACGUAGUCCAUAUCGGUAGGACUUUCAAUCGCGCCCGAACACUCCCGUGAGUGUUAGAAGAACGGUGACUCUACUUUAAAUUCGCGUUCGCGGCGUUCUAUGCACUAACCAAAAAAUCUGGCGGCUAACUGGCGGAGGGUGAGUCCACUCUUACGGAUAGCAAACGAUACUAUUCGGCAGCACAUAAACCGACACACUAGCACGACCGGUCAUUUAUUCUUUUUUAGCAAUCAAACGUAGUCCAUAUCGGUAGGACUUUUAAUCGCGCCCGAACACUCCCGUGAGUGUUAGAAGAACGGUGACUCUACUUUAAAUUCGCGUUCGCGGCGUUCUAUGCACUAACCAAGAAAUCAGGCGGCUAACUGGCGGAGGAUCAGUCCACUCUUACGGAUAGCAAACCACACUACUCGGAAGCACAUAAACCGACUCACUAGCACGACCGGUCAUUUAUGCGUUUUUAGCAAUCAAACGUAGUCCAUAUCGGUAGGACUUUCAAUCGCGCCCGAACACUCCCGUGAGUGUUAGAAGAACGGUGACUCUACUUUAAAUUCGCGUUCGCGGCGUUCUAUGCACUAACCAAAAAAUCUGGCGGCUAACUGGCGGAGGGUGAGUCCACUCUUACGGAUAGCAAACGAUACUAUUCGGCAGCACAUAAACCGACACACUAGCACGACCGGUCAUUUAUUCUUUUUUAGCAAUCAAACGUAGUCCAUAUCGGUAGGACUUUUAAUCGCGCCCGAACACUCCCGUGAGUGUUAGAAGAACGGUGACUCUACUUUAAAUUCGCGUUCGCGGCGUUCUAUGCACUAACCAAGAAAUCAGGCGGCUAACUGGAGGAGGGUCAGUCCACUCUUACGGAUAGCAAACCACACUACUCGGCAGCACAUAAACCGACUCACUAGCACGACCGGUCAUUUAUUCGUUUUUAGCAAUCAAACGUAGUCCAUAUCGGUAGGACUUUUAUUCGCGCCCGAGAACACCACGUCUCUGCCCGCCGACAAAGGCGUGAGAGUUCUUCCUAUCCUUCCCGUAUUCGCGUCUAGCAAUCGAUUAUGAAACGAACAUUUCGACGAUUUAUGGGAUCACCCUCGCCGAUAUGUCGAAGUCCAUGAACUGGAGGAGAAGCAGAAGAGAAAGAGAAGAAAGGAAAGCCGGAACAUGCGCGCAUGUGAAGAGGAUAGAAUUCGGAAGAGAAAAGAGAAGGCAUAUCCGGCAAAGAACACGUGCACGUGUGAGAACGAUGAAAUGGAAAAGAAAAGAUGGACAUCGAAUGUAGCUACACUCGACCAAAACCGGAGUACGAAAAUCGAGCUCGAUUUUUCGAUACUGAAAGGAGGAAACCCGCACAGAAGCCCACACCUAUGAGCCCAACUCAUAGGUCCCACCCGAAAGAAAUUAGAAUAAUGAGCCUUGAGUAUUUAUUUCCGAGUAUAGGGAAGAUGUAUGAAACAAUGUAAAAUGCACGAAGUUCGAUGUUUAAUUGGAAUUGCAUAGAAAAGAUUUUGGAAAAAUCUUAAAGAACGCAGCCAUUCGCAAGAUGAUACUUGCAGCCUACAAGAUUUCGACAUAUCACAAGUACUUCCGACCCAGGUGCCACAGCGUGGAGGUUGCUGCUUUUGGAGACCCACGGACUAACGGUGGCUCUACUCUUUACUACUUCUACUACUAUCAAGAAAGCAAAGCAUGAGGGCGAUCUCCACUCCCGACGAAUUCAAGCCAUCAAACGCUAAAAUUGCAGCCCCUUGCGUCUCCGCAUUUUUGAACCGACUUACGCAUAGCUCAACAAUCCAACAUCGAAAGCUUCGAUCACCACUUGAGCACAACCGGACAAACGCCGGAAUCCAAAAUUGAAUCUACCGCAGUUACGAUACUUACGCGAGCAUUCCAGAAACACUCACACGAAUAUGUUGAAUACGUUAGAGCCAAUUUAGGACUUUGUCGCGCUCGAGAACACCAACGCCUUUGCUAGCCGACAUAAGCGAGUGUCCUUCUAUCUUGCCCGAACGGGAGAAAAGAAAGUCUUCCACGCCUGAGGUAGAAAGAUUCUUUAAACACCCGUGUAAAAAUCUAAGUCCCUCGAUGGUCCUUGGGUGAUGCAACGAUUGCUGACACCUGGAAAUAAACGGACUAACGAGGAUUCUAUUCUAAAAUCCACGAACCGAGAUGUUUUUCCGCUUUGGGAGUUUCGAGCUUCUCAGCAAACUGGAGAUGUAUAAAAUCCCGCUUACAGAUUGCUCCACCGUCCACACCGUCGGCUUCAGACAUCUCGAGACACGACCAGUCGUGUCUACAUUUCGAUUUCAAAAAUCAAAACGGAGUCCUCGGUAGGACUAAAUCUCGCGAUCGCGAACACCCAUACGCGUGCCGGCCGUCACGCGCGUGAGUGUUUUACCUAUCAUUCGCGUACAGAAGCAAGGAGACAUACCCUUCCUGCAUAUAAUAUAGAUUAUAUGCAGAGAGGUUCCUUUAACUUCCGUGUAAAAAUCCCACGUCGAUAGGUCCAGCGAUCACCUAACUUGAAACAGAAAAAGGACAACAGAAUAUAUUACAUAUAUUUAAAAGAAUAUAUUUAUAUAUAUAGUAAAAUAUGAGUAAAAAUUGAAAAGAUAACACAAAUUAAAUAUAAAAGCAAAAAUUAAAAAGUUAAUAAAAAUUAAAUAUAAGAGCAAAAAUUAUAUGUAAUAUUAUAUGCAAAAGACGUUUAUAUUCAAAAAGAUCCCUGUAAAAGUUUAAUUUCACGAUGAUCCAUUCCUCGAUGAUCGCUCGUUCGAUGAUCGCUCCCUCGAUGAUCUAACCUGAAACAUAAAAGGAGUAAAAAAAAAGUGGAGAUGAAUGAAAAAGAAGAAAGGAAAAGAAACGAUGUAGAGAAAAAUAGAAAAAGAAACGUGGAGUAUUUGCGUAAAUGAACGUGAGAAAAAUAAAAUUCCGGACGAUUAUUUUGCAUCUCGAAAAUCAUUUCGCUCGAGGAAGAUCAGAGUACCAUUAUUGAGUUCGAUUUUUCCCUAGUGAAAGAACCAUACCCGCCUAAGGCCCACACCCGAGGGCCCAUCCCAAGGGUCCCACCCGAUAGAAGAUAGAGUACUUAAUCAACAAUUUAACCAAAAAUUCAAAAUAAUUGUUUUAACUAUAAUAUGCAGCCAUUCGCCCGGUAGUACUUCCGCUAUAUAAUUAUUUAAAUAUCUAGAUAUAAUGUAGUUAUAAACUUUUGAUGUAAUUCAGAUACAAUUUCAAUAUAUUGCAAGUGCUACCGACCCAGGUCCCACCGCUUGGAGGUUGCUGCAUCUGGGGACCCACGGGCUAACGGUGACUCUACCCUAAAGUUCGCGUGACCGGCGUGAUCAAAUAAUCGACGUUCCGUAAAACGAAGUUUCCGGUAGGACUUUUAAUCGCGCCCGAACACUCCCGUGAGUGUUAAAAUAACGGUGACUCUACUUUAAAUUCGCAUUCGCGGCGUUCUAUGCACUAACCAAGAAAUCAGGCGGCCAAUUGGAGUAGGAUCUGUCCAUUCUUACGGAUAGCAAACCACACUACUCGGCAGCACAUAAACCGACUCACUAGCACGAUCGGUCAUUUAUUCGUUUUUAGCAAUCAAACGUAGUCCAUAUCGGUAGGACUUUUAAUCGCGCCCGAACACUCCCGUGAGUGUUAGAAGAACGGUGACUCUACUGUAAAUUCGCGUUCGCGGCGUUCUAUGCAUUAACCAAGAAAUCAGGCGGCUAACUGGAUGAGGGUGGGUCCACUCUUACGGAUAGCAAACCACACUACUCGGCAGCACAUAAACCGACUCACUAGCACGAUCGGUCAUUUAUUCGUUUUUAGCAAUCAAACGUAGUCCAUAUCGGUAGGACUUUUAAUCGCGCCCGAACACUCCCGUGAGUGUUAGAAGAACGGUGACUCUACUGUAAAUUCGCGUUCGCGGCGUUCUAUGCAUUAACCAAGAAAUCAGGCGGCUAACUGGAUGAGGGUGAGUCCACUCUUACGGAUAGCAAACCACACUACUCGGCAGCACAUAAACCGACUCACAAGCACGAUCGGUCAUUUAUUCGUUUUUAGCAAUCAAACGUAGUCCAUAUCGGUAGGACUUUUAAUCGCGCCCGAACACUCCCGUGAGUGUUAGAAGAACGGUGACUCUACUGUAAAUUCGCGUUCGCGGCGUUCUAUGCACUAACCAAGAAAUCGGGCGGCUAACUCGAGAAGGAUCAGCCCACUCUUACGGGUAGCAAACCACAAUACUCGGCAGCACAUAAACCGACUCACAAGCACGAUCGGUCAUUUAUUCGUUUUUAGCAAUCAAACGUAGUCCAUAUCGGUAGGUCUUUUAAUCGCGCCCGAACACUCCCGUGAGUGUUAGAAGAACGAUGACUCUACUUUAAAUUCGCGUUCGCGGCGUUCUAUGCACUAACCAAGAAAUCAGGCGGCUAACUGGAGGAGGGUGAGUCCACUCUUACGGAUAGCAAACCACACUACUUGGCAGCACAUAAACCGACUCACUAGCACGACCGGUCAUUUAUUCGUUUUUAGCAAUCAAACGUAGUCCAUAUCGGUAGGACUUUUAUUCGCGCCCGAGAACACCACGUCUCUGCCCGCCGACAAAGGCGUGAGCGUUCUUCCUAUCCUUCCCGUAUUCGCGUCUAGCAAUCGAUUAUGAAACGAACAUUUCGACGAUUUAUGGGAUCACCCUCGCCGAUAUGUCGAAGUCUGAUGAACUGGAGGAGAAGCAGAAGAGAAAGAGAAGAAAAGAAAGCCGGAACAUGCGCGCAUGUGAAGAGGAUACAAUUCGGAAGAGAAAAGAGAAGGCAUAUCCGGCAAAGAACACGUGCACGUGUGAGAACGAUGAAAUGGAAAAGAAAAGAUGGACAUAGAAUGUAGCUACAUUCGACCAAAACCAGAGUACGAAAAUCGAGCUCGAUUUUUCGAUACUGAAAGGAGGAAACCCGCACAGAAGCCCACACCCACGAGCCCAACUCAUAGGUCCCACCCGAAAGAAAUUAGAAUAAUGAACCUUGAGUAUUUAUUUCCGAGUAUAGGGAAGAUGUAUGAAACAAUGUAAAAUGCACGAAGUUCGAUGUUUAAUUGGAAUUGCAUAGAAAAGAUUUUGGAAAAAUCUUAAAGAACGCAGCCAUUCGCAAGGUGAUACUUGCAGCCUACAAGAUUUCGACAUAUCACAAGUACUUCCGACCCAGGUGCCACCGCGUGGAGGUUGCUGCUUUUGGAGACCCACGGACUAACGGUGGCUCUACUCUUUACUACUUCUACUACUAUCAAGAAAGCAAAGCAUGGGGGCGAUCUCCACUCCCGAUCCGUCCUUGGCCGAUGAAACGCUUCCGGCACGUGGAAAUACACGAGCUAACGGGGUUUCUACUCUAAAGUCCACGAUCCGAGAUGCCUUUCCGCUUCGGGAGCUUCGAGCUUCUCAGCAAACUGGAGAUGUAUAAAACCCCGCUUACAGAUUGCUCCACCGUCCACACCGUCGGCUUCAGACAUCUCGAGACACGACCGGUCGUGUCUACAUUUCGAUUUCAAAGAACAAAAUGAAGUCCUCGGUAGGACUAAAUCUCGCGAUCGCGAACACCCAUACGCGUGCCGGCCGUCACGCGCGUGAGUGUUUUCCCUAUCAUUCGCGUACGGAAGCAAGGAGACAUACCCUUCCUGCAUAUAAUAUAGAUUAUAUGCAGAGAGGUUCCUUUAACUUCCGUGUAAAAAUCCCACGACGAUAGGUCCAGCGAUCAUCUAACUUGAAACAGAAAAAGAAUAAAACAAAAAGAGAUAAUUAUAUACAAAAAUAAUAUGCAAUAUUAUAUGGAAAAAGCCAUUUAUAUAUAAAAAUGCAUUUAAAAUCAAAAUGCAAUUAAAUAAUGAUAUUAAUAAUUAAUAAAUGAAUUAAUGAUUAAAUAAAAUAAAAUAAAAAACAAAUAUACAAUUAAAACUUCCCUGUAAAAAUUAAUUUCACGAUGAUCGGUCCUUCGAUGAUCUAACCUGAAACAGAGAAAGAAUAUAAAAAGAAAUGAAUAUAUGAGCAAAAAUUAAAAAGAUAAUAAAAAUUAAAUAUAAAAGCAAAAAUUAAAAAAAUCACGAAAAUUAAAUAUAAAAACCAAAAUUAUAUGCAAAAUUAUAUACAAAAACUUUCCUGUAAUAAUUUAUUUUCACGAUGAUCGGUCCCUCAAUGAUCGGUCUCUCGAUAGUCUAACCUGAAAUAGAAAAAAGUAAAAGAAUAAGAGAAAAGAAAAAAGAAAAAAGAGAAGAGGAAAAGAAAAGAAAAGAAAAGGAAAAAACGAAGAAAAGAAACACGGAACAUGUCCGAGAGAAAGAUAGAACUAAGAAAAAUGGAUAAGUAUCUCGAAGAUCAUUUCACUAGACAAAAUUCAGAGUAUCAUAAAUGAGUUUAAUUUUAUUCCUAACGAGAGAACGAAACCCGCCUAAGGCCCACACCCGAGGGCCCCUCCCAAGGGUCCCACCCGAGAGAAACUAAAAUAAUUAAUCUCGAAUGAUUGUUUUAACUAUUACAUAGCUAUACGUUUCAAUGAAUAGAAAUGACUAUGAAUUAUAUUGCUGGUGAAGAUGUUUGAAACAAUGUGAAAUGUAAUUUGGAAUUACAUAGAAAAGAUUUUGGAAAAUUCGUUGAAGCAUACAGCCAUUUGCUCGAUAAUACUUGUAUCCCAUAAAAUUUUGAUGUAUCUACAAGUAUCACCGACCCAGGUCCCACCGCGUGGAGGUUGCUGCAUCUUGGGACCCACGGGCUAACGAGGAAUCUACUCUAAAAUCCGCGAACCGAGAUGCCUUUCCGCUUCGGGAGCUUCGGGCUUCUCAGCAAACUGGAGAUGUAUAAAACCCCGCUUACAGAUUGCUCCACCGUCCACACCGUCGGCUUCAGACAUCUCGAGACACGACCGGUCGUGUCUACAUUUCGAUUUCAAAGAACAAAACGAAGUCCUCGGUAGGACUAAAUCUCACGAUCGCGAACACCCAUACGCGUGCCGGCCGUCACGCGCGUGAGUGUUUUCCCUAUCAUUCGCGUACGGAAGCAAGGAGACAUACCCUUCCUGCAUAUAAUAUAGAUUAUAUGCAGAGAGGUUCCUUUAACUUCCGUGUAAAAAUCCCACGACGAUAGGUCCAGCGAUCAUCUAACUUGAAACAGAAAAAGAAUAAAACAAAAAGAGAUAAUUAUAUACAAAAAUAAUAUGCAAUAUUAUAUGGAAAAAGCCAUUUAUAUAUAAAAAUGCAUUUAAAAUCAAAAUGCAAUUAAAUAAUGAUAUUAAUAAUUAAUAAAUGAAUUAAUGAUUAAAUAAAAUAAAAUAAAAAACAAAUAUACAAUUAAAACUUCCCUGUAAAAAUUAAUUUCACGAUGAUCGGUCCUUCGAUGAUCUAACCUGAAACAGAGAAAGAAUAUAAAAAGAAAUAAAUAUAUGAGCAAAAAUUAAAAAGAUAAUAAAAAUUAAAUAUAAAAGCAAAAAUUAAAAAAAUCACGAAAAUUAAAUAUAAAAACCAAAAUUAUAUGCAAAAUUAUAUACAAAAACUUUCCUGUAAUAAUUUAUUUUCACGAUGAUCGGUCCCUCAAUGAUCGGUCUCUCGAUAGUCUAACCUGAAAUAGAAAAAAGUAAAAGAAUAAGAGAAAAGAAAAAAGAAAAAAGAGAAGAGGAAAAGAAAAGAAAAGAAAAGGAAAAACGAAGAAAAGAAACACGGAACAUGUCCGAGAGAAAGA